This 406-nucleotide ribosomal RNA is filed under the name uncultured bacterium. RNAcentral describes it as "partial 16S ribosomal RNA". It matches the Rfam family "Bacterial small subunit ribosomal RNA", at positions 30 to 526 of the family's 1533-position model. The record is from RNAcentral.
AUUGAACGCUGGCGGCAGGCCUAACACAUGCAAGUCGAACGAGUGGCGGACGGGUGAGUAAUGUCUGGGAAACUGCCCGAUGGAGGGGGAUAACUACUGGAAACGGUAGCUAAUACCGCAUACCAUCGGAUGUGCCCAGAUGGGAUUAGCUUGUAGGUGAGGUAACGGCUCACCUAGGCGACGAUCCCUAGCUGGUCUGAGAGGAUGACCAGCCACACUGGAACUGAGACCAGGUCCAGACUCCUACGGGAGGCAGUAGUGGGGAAUAUUGCACAAGGGGUGCAAGUCUGAUGCAGCCAUGCCGAGUGUAUGAGGAAGGCCUUCGGGUUGUAAAGUACUUUCAGCGGAGAGGCGUUACCCGCAGAGGAAGCACCGGCUAACGCCGUGCCAGCAGCCGCGGUAAUAC